GGAUGUGAGGGUGAUCUGGCUGCGACAUCUGUCACCCCAUUGAUCGCCAGGGUUGAUUCGGCUAGGCAGGUGUCCCCUUCCUCCCUCAUCGCUCCAAGUGCGUCCCUCCUGAAGCUGCCCACUUGGUCGAAGAGGACGGCUUUCCUCAAAUAGAGAUGGACCGGUCUUCAGUCAUACCAGUAGCUUCACUCCCCUGCUAGAACCUCCAAACAAGCUUUCAAGACUGAUAGAGUGCAAGGACCUAUGAAGGAUCUGGGUUUGAGGCCCCAUUCCCC
This is a non-coding RNA of Erinaceus europaeus (western European hedgehog), 275 nucleotides long. The record is from Rfam. Lineage: Eukaryota; Metazoa; Chordata; Mammalia; Eulipotyphla; Erinaceidae.